GUCGUCGUGGUCGAGUGGUUAAGGCGACAGACUAGAAAUCUGUUGGGCUCUGCCCGCACAGUUUCGAAUUCUGUCGGCGACG
Non-coding RNA from Ciona savignyi (Pacific transparent sea squirt), 82 nucleotides. NCBI's taxonomy places the organism in Eukaryota, Metazoa, Chordata, Ascidiacea, Phlebobranchia, Cionidae. The record is from Rfam.